AGUGAACGCUGGCGGUAGGCCUAACACAUGCAAGUCGAACGGCAGCACAGUAAGAGCUUGCUCUUACGGGUGGCGAGUGGCGGACGGGUGAGGAAUACAUCGGAAUCUACUUUUUCGUGGGGGAUAACGUAGGGAAACUUACGCUAAUCCCGCAUACGACCCACGGGUGAAAGAAGGGGAUCUUCGGACCUUGCGCGAUUGAAUGAGCCGAUGUCGGAUUAGCUAGUUGGCGGGGUAAAGGCCCACCAAGGCGACGAUCCGUAGCUGGUCUGAGAGGGUGAUCAGCCACACUGGAACUGAGACACGGUCCAGACUCCUACGGGAGGCAGCAGUGGGGAAUAUUGGACAAUGGGCGCAAGCCUGAUCCAGCCAUACCGCGUGGGUGAAGAAGGCCUUCGGGUUGUAAAGCCCUUUUGUUGGGAAAGAAAAGCAGCAGGUUAAUACCCCGCUGUUCUGACGGUACCCAAAGAAUAAGCACCGGCUAACUUCGUG
Molecule: ribosomal RNA, 492 nt
Filed under: uncultured bacterium
Lineage: Bacteria
Description: partial 16S ribosomal RNA
Rfam family: Bacterial small subunit ribosomal RNA
Source: RNAcentral